CUUAUUAUCAGUGAUAUAUACAGUUAUCAGCUCUAUAUGUUUAUGUAUUGAUGUAUAUAAGCAUAGAAUACAUUAGUUAUCGGCUAUAUAUACAAUUACUAGUGUGAAAAAUACAUUGAUGUGUGUGUAAUGUUUGUGUAUGUGUAAAGUACAUAACUGUAUAUAUACAGUGUAUUAAUAUUUACUUUUAUGAAAAUACUGUUAAUGGCACAAAUUAAAGCUGAAAGCAUAAUUUUUUACUGAUAAAUAAGAAGCAGAGUGUGACUACAGGACCAAAUAAUCAAUAUUUUAUUGUUGAUUGUGUAAACUGUAAACUUACAGAAGCAAACAAUUGUACAUAUAGGAUUAGUUCCCCAAACUUAAUCCGUCAGCUCUGUUUCCUCAAGAAAAUGAAAAGCCCUCUUCAAACUAUCCCAAAUCAGAGAGAAAAACCCUUUUCAAACUAUCCCAAAUCAGCUUUUCAUCUUCCUAAAUCAGCAUCCCAUCUUCCUUUUCUCUCUCUUAAAAUUAGGUAAGGCCUCUUCCAUUAGAGUUCUUUCUUUUCUCUCUCUAAAAAUCACUUAGGGCGGCCCCUUCCAUUAGGGUUUGUGAAAACUAUUUUCUUCUUCUUUCUUCUUGCUAUAAACCCUAAUGGUUAUGAGCCAAGCCAUAUUUUCUUCUCUUCCUUUCCUUCGUCGUUCUUCUUCUUCUCUUUACACAGUAAACAUAGAUGUAAAUCCCAAAUUUAUAUGAACUUCUUCCAACUAAAGAAAUUUAUAAAACUUUAACCAUAGUUAUGGAGUGACCAUAGACACCAUACCAUAAUUAAAUAACUGUCGUGACAACAAAAAUCGUGUGUUUAUUUUUUGGUACCUGCUAAGUAGGAGUUAUGUUUAAGCAUUUAAUAAAUAAAUUUAUAGUAUAUUUAUUUGUUUUUGUAUGUAAUAAGUAAGUGUGAUGUUUCUUAAAGUAUUUAAUUGGUAGAUUU
RNAcentral lists this long non-coding RNA (967 nucleotides) under Amborella trichopoda. RNAcentral's name for it is "long non-coding RNA (ATRI_LNC004796)". Lineage: Eukaryota; Viridiplantae; Streptophyta; Magnoliopsida; Amborellales; Amborellaceae. The record is from RNAcentral.